UCCCCUCUGGCCUGGCUCCUCUGGGGACUGUGGGCAAUGAGUAUAUGGGGGGGAGGGAAGUGUUGAAAAAGCCAUCCCUGCAGAGAGAAGGGACUGGCCCAAGGUCACACAUGUGCUUAAUGGCAGAGCUAGGAUUUUAAGCCAGGUUUCCUGAUUCUCAGUCAAAAACCAGAGCUCUCCUGAAUCAGGGUGCUUAUCCAUCCCUGCUGCUUUACGUGCCCCACCCCUAACACCACCACUAAGGCCAGACUUCAAAGAGAAAAUGAGUCACUAAAGGGCAGCUUGAGAAAUGUGUAUGGAAGGAAGGGAAGGAAGAAGCAUUUAUUAAGUACCUACUACAUGCCAGGCGUGGUGCUGAGCCUUUUACAAAUAUCUCAUUUGAUUCUCACAGCAACCCUGGGAGAUGGGUGCUAUUACUAAUCCCUGCUCUACAGUAGAGGAAACUGAGGCAGACAGAGGUGAAGUGACUUGCACAGGCUUACACAGCUCAUAAGUUUCUGAGGCUGGAUUUGAACUCAGGUUUUCCUUCCUCCUAGGGCAGCUAGGUGGAUAGAGCACAGGGCCUGGAGUCCAGAGACCCAUCUUCCUGAGUUUAAAUCUGACCUCAGAUACUUUCUAGCUGGGUGACUCUGGGCAAGCCACUUAAUCUUGUUUGCCUCAGUUUCUUCUUCUGUAAAAUGAGUUGGAGAAGGAAAUGGCAAACCACUCCCGUGUCUUUGUCAAGGAAACCCCACAUGGGAUCACAAAGAGUCAGACACAGCUGAACACCACAUUUCCUCUGUCCACUGUGCCAGCAGCUGCCUUGUGGGCUAGCCGCUCUUAGAGGUCAUCCAGUCCAACCCCCCAAGGCCCAGAGGGGUUCCUUCAGUUGGAGGAGACGCUCAGCACUUUAGACCGCAGGAAACCCAAAGGACCGGGUUCCCUCUCGAAAGUCCAUCUGCUACGACGUGGUCACCCAUCUCGUGAUUACGUGUCCUGGGUGCCACGCAUCUCAGGAAAAAAAGAGCACCUGAAAUUUUCCACUACAUCAGCUCGCUGGCCAGGUGUAUCCCCUUCAACCGCUUGGAGCAAGGGAUGGAGAGGCUUAGGAUAGUCUCUUCAGGGGCCGUCGUGAAGAGGAGGCCCCUGCCAAUGGCACCUUUCAGGUAAGUUCAGUGUCCUCAGCUGCCUGAGGUGGGGGCCGCUGGGCGCUCCCCGUCUCUGUCAGAUAGAGCUGCCUCAGGUGGAAGAAGGAGGCGGUGAGAGGGCUGUUGGUACUAGCUCUGGCAAGGGUCCACCUUCUAGGGUCUGCUUGGCUUCGUUCUAGAGACUGGCUUUAGACAAGUCGGCUUCUCAGCUGAAGA
This 1343-nucleotide long non-coding RNA is filed under the name Vombatus ursinus (common wombat). RNAcentral describes it as "lncRNA (ENSVURG00010019231.1)". Lineage: Eukaryota; Metazoa; Chordata; Mammalia; Diprotodontia; Vombatidae. The record is from RNAcentral.